GAUGAACGCUGGCGGCGUGCCUAAUACAUGCAAGUCGAGCGAACAGAUGAGGAGCUUGCUCCUCUGACGUUAGCGGCGGACGGGUGAGUAACACGUGGAUAACCUACCUAUAAGACUGGGAUAACUUCGGGAAACCGGAGCUAAUACCGGAUAAUAUAUUGAACCGCAUGGUUCAAUAGUGAAAGACGGUUUUGCUGUCACUUAUAGAUGGAUCCGCGCCGCAUUAGCUAGUUGGUAAGGUAACGGCUUACCAAGGCAACGAUGCGUAGCCGACCUGAGAGGGUGGUCGGCCACACUGGAACUGAGACACGGUCCAGACUCCUACGGGAGGCAGCAGUAGGGAAUCUUCCGCAGUGGGCGAAAGCCUGACGGAGCAACGCCGCGUGAGUGAUGAAGGUCUUCGGAUCGUAAAACUCUGUUAUUAGGGAAGAACAAAUGUGUAAGUAACUAUGCACGUCUUGACGGUACCUAAUCAGAAAGCCACGGCUAACUACGUG
RNAcentral lists this ribosomal RNA (497 nucleotides) under uncultured bacterium. RNAcentral's name for it is "partial 16S ribosomal RNA". It matches the Rfam family "Bacterial small subunit ribosomal RNA", at positions 28 to 507 of the family's 1533-position model. The record is from RNAcentral.